Astatotilapia calliptera (eastern happy) is the source of this 1069-nucleotide long non-coding RNA. NCBI's taxonomy places the organism in Eukaryota, Metazoa, Chordata, Actinopteri, Cichliformes, Cichlidae. The record is from Ensembl.
GGAACCCACCUGCACAUUGAUUGCAGGGUGGCGCUAGCCUGUAUAAAGCUAAGCCGAUGUCUUGUUGGAUUAAUUCCUCCCGAGCUUCUGGUACGAUACAGCAGUAAAUGCUGGCGUACUGUGACGGAUUGAUCAGCAAGAGCCGAUUAUACGACAGCUACAGCGCAGCAGUCUGUUUAAUUCUGCCAUUGCGGAGAGAGGUGUUCGUGGUAUCUCCACCAAUGAGAGUAUAGUGCCUCCGGUCCUGGGGAGGACGAGCCAGUGGCCCUGGGACCUCAGGUGGUGGGUCGUUUUCACACUUUCUUUUGUACAGCACUGGGUGGUCUGCAGUGAUUCUUUUGGUGUGAUUUUCUUUUGGUUCCACGGCUGCUGCUGCUCCCUCCAGGGGUGCACAGAGCGGGUCAUCUGCCCAGAUCUCAACCUAUCGCUGUCACACCAACACUCUCGACUGCAUCCAUGAACUUCCUGUGGUUUCCAUCUUUUCCUCCUGCACUGCAGCUCCAUCCACAGUAUCCUUUGUCCAAAAUAUUCAUGAUCCGUCCUCUACACGUCCAAACCAGCUGAGUCUCCCCUUUCUUUGUUUUUAAUACAGCUUUCCAAAUUUUGACAUUUUAUCUUUAUAUAUUCAUUCAGAGGAUGAUGGUUUAUAAUCCUUACAGAGGUGCCUGCUACAUCUGACGUCACCUGUAUUUAUCAUUGUGAGGGAAGCCAAGCCUGCGACGGUGUGAGGACAGCAGAGCAGGAACUGAAAACUGAGCCCAUCUCUGGAUGAAUGAAAACAGCAGUGCAUCACUUCCUGUACCUACAUGCAGGCUGUGCUUUAAGAACCCCGAAACUAGGAGUACCGGUAUAUGAACAGUGCAGCCCUGCUGUGUGUUUACUCUGCUGAUGCAUGAAGUAGAACUAGCUACACCUGGAAGAUUAUUACAGUUAACCAGUUUGCCACUUUAACAGCAGUUAACUGGAAUAACAGACUAAACUGGUUCUGUGUAAAUACUGGAAAUGUCUUUGGCUUCUCAUUUUAUUUGCUUCUGUUUUCUGAUCCUAAUAAAAUGUUAUUUUAUUCAUA